RNAcentral lists this ribosomal RNA (405 nucleotides) under uncultured bacterium. RNAcentral's name for it is "bacterial SSU rRNA". It matches the Rfam family "Bacterial small subunit ribosomal RNA", at positions 917 to 1322 of the family's 1533-position model. The record is from RNAcentral.
GGGCCCGCACAAGCGGUGGAGUAUGUGGUUUAAUUCGAUGCAACGCGAAGAACCUUACCAGGGUUUGACAUCCUCGGAACUUUCUAGAGAUAGAUUGGUGCCUUCGGGAACCGAGUGACAGGUGCUGCAUGGCUGUCGUCAGCUCGUGUCGUGAGAUGUUGGGUUAAGUCCCGUAACGAGCGCAACCCUUAUCCUUAAUUGCCAGCGGUUAGGCCGGGAACUCUAAGGAGACUGCCGAUGACAAAUCGGAGGAAGGUGGGGACGACGUCAAGUCAUCAUGGCCCUUACGAGUAGGGCUACACACGUGCUACAAUGGCGCAUACAGAGGGCGGCCAACUUGCGAAAGUGAGCGAAUCCCAAAAAGUGCGUCGUAGUCCGGAUUGGAGUCUGCAACUCGACUCCAUG